UGCCAGCAGCCGCGGUAAUACGGAGGGGGCAAGCGUUGUUCGGAAUUAUUGGGCGUAAAGGGCAUGUAGGCGGUUUGGUAAGUUAAAGGUGAAAUACCAGGGCUUAACCCUGGGGCUGCUUUUAAUACUGCAGGACUAGAGUCCGGAAGAGGAUAGCGGAAUUCCUAGUGUAGAGGUGAAAUUCGUAGAUAUUAGGAGGAACACCAGUGGCGAAGGCGGCUGUCUGGUCCGGUACUGACGCUGAGGUGCGAAAGC
Molecule: ribosomal RNA, 255 nt
Filed under: uncultured Anaplasma sp.
Lineage: Bacteria; Pseudomonadati; Pseudomonadota; Alphaproteobacteria; Rickettsiales; Anaplasmataceae
Description: partial 16S ribosomal RNA
Rfam family: Bacterial small subunit ribosomal RNA
Source: RNAcentral